This 657-nucleotide ribosomal RNA is filed under the name uncultured Bacteroidales bacterium. RNAcentral's name for it is "bacterial SSU rRNA". It matches the Rfam family "Bacterial small subunit ribosomal RNA", at positions 70 to 718 of the family's 1533-position model. The record is from RNAcentral. Lineage: Bacteria; Pseudomonadati; Bacteroidota; Bacteroidia; Bacteroidales.
CAGUUUGGUUUGCUUGCAAACCAAAGCUGGCGACCGGCGCACGGGUGAGUAACACGUAUCCAACCUGCCUCAUACUCGGGGAUAGCCUUUCGAAAGAAAGAUUAAUAUCCGAUAGCAUAUAUUUCCCGCAUGGGUUUUAUAUUAAAGAAAUUCGGUAUGAGAUGGGGAUGCGUUCCAUUAGUUUGUUGGCGGGGUAACGGCCCACCAAGACUACGAUGGAUAGGGGUUCUGAGAGGAAGGUCCCCCACAUUGGAACUGAGACACGGUCCAAACUCCUACGGGAGGCAGCAGUGAGGAAUAUUGGUCAAUGGACGCGAGUCUGAACCAGCCAAGUAGCGUGAAGGAUGACUGCCCUAUGGGUUGUAAACUUCUUUUAUAUGGGAAUAAAGUGGUCCACGUGUGGAUUUUUGUAUGUACCAUAUGAAUAAGGAUCGGCUAACUCCGUGCCAGCAGCCGCGGUAAUACGGAGGAUCCGAGCGUUAUCCGGAUUUAUUGGGUUUAAAGGGAGCGUAGGCGGAUUGUUAAGUCAGUUGUGAAAGUUUGCGGCUCAACCGUAAAAUUGCAGUUGAUACUGGCAGUCUUGAGUGCAGUAGAGGUGGGCGGAAUUCGUGGUGUAGCGGUGAAAUGCUUAGAUAUCACGAAGAACUCCGAUUGCGA